CGGAUUGUAGUCUGCAACUCGACUACAUGAAGCUGGAAUCGCUAGUAAUCGCGAAUCAGCAUGUCGCGGUGAAUACGUUCCCGGGUCUUGUACACACCGCCCGUCACACCAUGGGAGUCAGUAACGCCCGAAGCCGGUGACCCAACCGAGUCCGGAGGGAGCCGUCGAAGGUGGGACCGAUAACUGGGGUGAAGUCGUAACAAGGUACC
This 209-nucleotide ribosomal RNA is filed under the name uncultured bacterium. RNAcentral describes it as "partial 16S ribosomal RNA". It matches the Rfam family "Bacterial small subunit ribosomal RNA", at positions 1294 to 1500 of the family's 1533-position model. The record is from RNAcentral.